GACGAACGCUGGCGGCGUGCUUAACACAUGCAAGUCGAACGGAAAGGCCCUGCUUUUGUGGGGUGCUCGAGUGGCGCAGGGGUGAGUAACACGUGAGUAACCUGCCCUUGACUUUGGGAUAACUUCAGGAAACUGGGGCUAAUACCGGAUAGGAGAUCCUGCUCCAUGGUGGGGGUUGGAAAGUUUCGGCGGUUGUGGAUGGACUCGCGGCUUAUCCGCUUGUUUGGGGGGUAGUGGCUUACCAAGCUUUUGACGGGUAGCCGGCCUGAGAGGGGGACCGGCGACAUGGGGACUGAGAUACGGCCCAGACGCCUACGGGAGGCAGCAGUGGGGAAUAUGGCACAACGGGCGGAAGCCUGAUGCAGCAACGUCGCGUGCGUGAUGACGGCCUUCGGGUUGUAAACCGCUUUCGACUGUGACGAAGCGUGAGUGACGGUAAUUGGUAAAGAAGCACCGGCUAACUACGUG
This 468-nucleotide ribosomal RNA is filed under the name uncultured bacterium. Its description in RNAcentral is "partial 16S ribosomal RNA". It matches the Rfam family "Bacterial small subunit ribosomal RNA", at positions 28 to 507 of the family's 1533-position model. The record is from RNAcentral.